Molecule: long non-coding RNA, 11919 nt
Filed under: Mytilus galloprovincialis (Mediterranean mussel)
Lineage: Eukaryota; Metazoa; Mollusca; Bivalvia; Mytilida; Mytilidae
Source: RNAcentral
UUUUCUUUCAGAUGAACAAGAAGUUUGUUUGAUUUGAUUGGCUGACCUGACAAUAAACACUGUCAAGACUCAGAUGACCAAAAUGUCAGAGAUUACACAAAGCUUUUGAUGAAAUGAGAGAAUAAUAAAGAAAUUAGUCCUUGUGAUGAAUUAAGAAGUAGGUUUACACUUCAGAUUGUUUUCCAACAAUGAAUGAAAAUACAAACAUAACUUAUAUUACUAGUGGCAGAAUUAGGAAAGCUACGAUAUAUAUGGUUAAUGCAUACACUUUUUGCAAGUCCCACUACAUAGCUGUUUUUGGUCCCAGUCUGUGAAAAAAGUCAAUGGAUGGUGACUUAAUUUAACAAUUUGAUGCAACAUAAAUUAAUACUGUAAUUAUACUUUUGACCCACUUUUAACAACAAUUGGUUCAAAUAUGUUUCAUGAAUUUGAGGACCUGAUUGAGCUCCUCUGAAUUUGUUGGCAGGCAUGGAUCAAGAUUUUUUUUAAAUGGUAAUUGUCUUGGGGUUCAAACAGGAAACAGGAAUGGGUUUAAGGAUGGUUUUUGGUAGUUUUUGCAUGAAGGAGAGUUUGUGAUGGAGGAUUAGAAAAAACUUUAGACCUAAUGGUUGGGCCAUCUGAGUGACUUUUAUUUUGUGUCAUUUUCAUGCUUUUGGUUUUUGUUUGUAUUAAUGCCCGUUCACUCACCACAUCAGCUGUUGAACAAUUGUUUUAUUGCAUGAACCCCCUGAGGGUUCAUGCUUAUAUAUUGGCGAGUUUUGGAUGUGUCUAUGGGCCACUCGAUAUCUCUCGGCCGGAAGUCAGAAUAAAAUUCUCGGAACGUCUCGAAAGUUUUCGGUAAUUUAUACAGGUCUUAACAGGUUGUUAUCUACGACUUUGAUAUGGUCCUUUGAUGGUCCUUGGCGACGCAAUCAUAUUUGUUUGAAAACGACCACUGUACACUGUAUGUAUCUAGGUCAAUUAUAACAUGGUAUUGUCUGUUGUCUCGAUAACAUGUAAACUAAUUAUGUUUGAAGAUUUAACCACGGGAUACUGUGUAUUUCAUCAUAGACCUACGGGAGAGAGCAUUCUGGUUAAAAUAGUAAUAUUAGAUCGGAAAACAGAAAGAUAAUAUUCUUAUCAAAAGUAUUUAAUUCAAUCGGAAUCAAAGAAAUAUAUACAAAUUAUAUACUGUAUUUAUGUUUCUAAAGAAACUAACAAUGAUUGAAAUCAGAAUAUUUUCACAGUUGCAAUUAAGAAAUGAAGUAUUUUAUAUAUGACGAGAUACUCUGCUUUGGUAUUUUUUAAUAUUCAUUUGUAAAGGAAACACACAAAUUUAAUCUGAAUAAAUUCUUACAUCCUACAAAAAAAUUGUUUAUAAACAAUAAUCAUUAUAUUUCUACGUUAAUUAUUUCAUACCAUUUUAGUAUUUAGGUUUUAUGAGUAUUUAUUAUUUAUUUUUUUGUAUUGUAAUAUAUCCAUAAAACGGAAAGUAAGAUAAAUUUAUUAAAUUUUUAAUUUUAAACGGUCGUGAAUAAAAUACUUGUGUGUUUUCAAAUCACGAAGCAUGAUUUUAAAUCCUUAAUUUGCAGCUCACAACAACCGUAAAAAUAAUUUACAAUAAUCACAACAAUAUUUAAUUACAACCAUAAUGUUGAUUAUUUUUAACUGUUUAAGUAUGGAUUUAGAAGUCUUUGCUUAUAUUUUGUAUAGUAAUAUAUUCACAUAGUGGAAUGUUAGAAUUUAAAAAUUGAUUCAUUCAAUAAAUAAAAUGUCCAUCCGUAAAUACUUGACGUUCGUGUUCAUUGAUACAUGUAUUAUAUAUUUUCAAAAGAAUUUGAAAAAAAUUACUAACAGGAACGUUAGUUUAAUAUAAAAUCUUUAAUUCAAUUUUUGUUUGUAUGUUUUAAUAGUUUAACCUUACAGCUAAUACAGCAUCUGCAUAUUUGUACUAUGGUACUGUUCCUAAAAUUGUAUUCAUUGUGUUGACAACUAUCCUACACGUCUAGAUUCAUUCACAUUAUAGAUCACAUUUCAAAAGCACUCUAUCGGUUUGCGUUCUCAAAAAUUCCGGAUAGAAUGUCAAUGAAUCCGGAGUCAAAACAUUUAAUGUAGGCCGCUUGACAUUUGAAUUCAACUAUUAGAUUAAGAUAUAUGUGAUGACGCAAAUGCGUAUUCUUUUCCGGAGUAUCAGUGAGAUGCUUUCUAUUCACUAUUUCGUGCGCUAAAAGACUAUUUGCAUGCAAUACUAUUAAAUUCACUCGUGAAAGCUUAUUUUCGUUUUCGUUAUCUAAUUUCAGGACACGGCAGAAAGAGCUUUACAUGUGACUUUCAAGCACGGUCAUCAUUACUAACGGUAUUCUGACCUCGAGUUGUUUCUCUUUUGUUUCUUUUUUGAGUCACUACAUCCUAUUAUAAACUUUGACCUUUACAAAAAGCUAAGGAUUGUCUACCCAAGGAUAGAUUCCUUAACUUUGUAAUAUAUUUAACUUUUUUCAUUCGAUAGUCACUGAUGUUUUUUUGUAGACUUAACUCGUGUCUGGCAUACAUCAUUUUCAUUCUGGUAUCUUUAUAUAUCUACAUACCUUUUUAUAUAAAUUGGUUAUUUUGAAAGUGUAUACAGGUAUUCAUAAAUUAAGAAAUUCUUCGGCAAAACUAAGUUUCCCUGUAGAAUGUUUGAAUUUAAGUAAAAUCAGGAAAUCCUUAAAAUUUUAGAUGUUUUAUGAGACCAAAAUAAGUCUCUCCAUAAGAGGUCCCAAUCAAUUGCAUGCCAUAGGUUUCAUCGCCGAUACAAUAUCUGCCAUGAGUAAAAACAGCUUCAAAUACGAGUUGAAAAUAUAAAGGCAUUCAUGUAGGAAACAAAAUAUAAAGAUAUGAUAGAUAAAAUAAAUGCAUCCACAAUUCCAGAUUAUAAAGCAAACUGAGUGCAUACAUUUAUAUUGCGAUAGGUUUGUGCAAUUUGCAUAAGUCAUCCGGUUAGUAGAAAUUAGGAUUUGCCAAAGGGUUAUAAUCGGAAAAAUUAUGUACAUUCCCAAGUAAUAAAUAAAAUAGUCGAGCUUUAAAAUAACUAUUCAAAUAGAAGCUGUAAAUAUAUACUUUCAACUGGCUUCUUCCAUUUACAGUCAAUUAUUUCAAUUCAAAAGCAAACACAAAUUCAGCAACGAUCUUUUGAUGACCCGGCAGUCAGCAGUCUUAGGUUUAUGGAUUGCUUUUCUUUUUUUAAAGAAAGCAACUUGUUUUUUUAAUUGCAAGGACAUUUUCGUGUUAGAUCUUGAAAUGUCAGGUUUCUGUAAAAAACAAAAUUGAAAUGCACGUCCUACCAGUAACACUAUAAUUUCUGAAGUAACUUAUUUACAAAUGAGAACUUAUAAUUUACAUCUUUUCAUAUCUGUUACAUGAGUUCUUAAAUAACAAUUAUAUUGUAUAGAUUUCAAAUUCCCUGAUAACCUGCUGUUUAUAAUACAAAUUUAUAGACCAGCUUGUCUGUGUUUUCAGUAUAACUUUCAAUUUAUUAUGUCAGAGUUAUCUGCCCUUUGAUAAUAUUGAAAUCUGUUUCCUUUCAUUAUCAUAUAUGUUGACAGAAAAGAAUAAUUAAUUAGAAAUUUAAUUAAUUGAAGAGGUCAAAGUUUAUCUAAAUGAUUUAAAGAAAUGGCCUUAUAAUGGUUAUGUAGAGACUGUUAAGUAAUAUGGGUUAUACAUACAGACAUUUAAAGAGAAAUAAUAAUUAAUUUACAUUAUUUUGACAUUGUUUAAGUUCUGUUUUCUUUAUUUCCAUGUAUGAUAUCUUGAUAUUUAUGCACAAAUGUGCCUAUUCUCUCAGUUUGGUUAUGUGACAGUAUUAUGCAUUUUAAGGACAUUCCAUGGUGUGCAUUAGGUGCACGAUUUGUCAUAAAUAUAAGAAGAUGUGGUGUGAGUGCCAAUGAGACAACUCUCUCAUCCAGGUCACAAUUUGUAAAAGUAAACCAUUAUAGGUAAAAAGUACAGUCUUCAAUCUGGAAUUAAGACCUCACAUUAACAGGAUGCCUGCAACAUACAUCAAGGCCUCCCCAUGAUUGAAGUAAGAAAAUGUUUUUUUCAAUAUUUAAAAAAAAUUUCCCUAUUUCAUAGUGACAAUGGACUCUUGUUAGUUCUCUGAAAGAGAGGAAAGAAUUGACAGACCAACACCGUAUUGGAAGUAUUUUAUUGAAUCGUAGCAGAAAAAUAUAAAAAGAAGAUGUGGUAUGAAUUCCAAUGAGUCAACUCUUCACAAGAGAUCAAAUGACACAGAAAUUAACAACUACAGGUCACUGUAUGGCCUUCAUCAAAGCCUAUGUUGCUAUUAAAGGUCCCAUAUUUUUCAGAUGUCACCAGAAUCACUCAAACGAAUUAUUAGAAGAUAUUGGUGCACAAUUUAUAAUUAAAACACAAACCUUGAAUUACCUGGUAAUUUGUUCAGAUGAACAUGUGAAGUACCCUACAUUCCAUUGAAAACCUGUUGGUGACCUUCUGCUGUUGUCCGUUCUAUGGUCGGUUGUUGUCUCUUUGACACAUUCCCCAUUUCCAUUCUUAAUUUUACUUCAUGAUAGGUUAAUUAUUAUUUGUUAUGUCCAGUGGAAACUAUUGCAUGCAUAAUCAGAAUGAGAAUCAUUUAUGAUAGUACCUCCUUAAAUUACAGAAAACUAUAGUGUUAUUGAAAAAAAUAAAUAAAAUCAACCAAAAAUGACACUCCAACAGUGUACUACUACUGUCUGGAACUUAAUUUGUAGUUAGGGUGGGAAUUUGUUCCAAAAAACUCGCUAUCAAACUUUUAGAUGAAGAACUGCAAUUUUGAAUAAAUGAACAGUUCCUUUGCUAUACUGUAUAGGUUAAUAAAUUGUAAAUUAUGUAUUAUUUUUUUUAAUAAAUUUAUGCUCCAUUUUAUCAGAAUAUUACUUCCGAUAAUAUGAUAAAUGAGCACAUGUUAUGUUUAACUUUAUAAAUAAAAAUAAUUGUAUGCAUAAUGCAUAUUUAAUAACACUUUUAGUUUUAUUGUUUGUGAAAAACAUAUGUUUUAUUCACGCUUUGUGUCUCUUUUAUAGGUUGUCACAUGCAUGGAAGAUAAAGUAAACAACAGUCAGAAAGAUCAAAGAAUAUGUAAAUGAGUUUUCCAUGCAUUUAUCUUGUAGCUAUCAUACUUUUAACCUCUGACCUUUAAGUUUUCUCUAAUUUGUAAAUUGACCAAAUACUUACUUUGAUAUACAAUAGUUUCAAUUUGACCUGCUGAUUGAAUAGAUGUCAUUUUCAUGGAUCAUUGAUUUCAUCCUUUUUAUGAUGGGUCACUUUCUUUACAGAUCAUUAAGAAAUUUGGUAGGCUGACUUGUUCCAUUAACACCCAUCUGUAAUCAUAAAUCUUGAGGGUAUUUGGUAAAUUAAAGCCAAACAUGAAAUUUUACAGGAGCUAAAUAGUAGAUGAUGUAUAUUAAACAAUUAUUAUAGGCCCUGGUCAAGCGAUUUUUUAAAAGGGAUGUUAAAACAUAUAUAUGCAAGUCAUUAAAGACUAACCGGGUUCAACUAUAUAAUAUGUCCCAAUACAGAAGCAUUAGAUGUCAAUCAAAUUCCAUAUCUGCAACUGCAAUAAGACAAGUUUCAUUUUUUCUUUAAUCAUAGUAUGAAGUCCAUUUAUGUUCUUAUUUUCAAAAUUUCCCUUAAAUUUCAAAAUCACAAGACCAAUGACAGUUGAUUUGUUGUGUGCUUAAAAGUUGAACAACAUAAUAAAAUUGAGGAUGGAAAUGGAGAAUGUGCCAAAAGAGACAACAACCCCACCAUAGAAAAAAACAACAGUAGAAGGUCACCAACAGGUCUUCAAUGUAGCGAGAAAUUCCCGCACCCGGAGGCGUCCUUCAGCUGGCCCCUAAACAAAUAUAUACUAGUUCAGUGAUAAUGAACGCCAUACUAAUUUCCAAAUUGUACACAAAAAACUAAAAUUAAAAUAAUACAAGACUAACAAAGGCCAGAGGCUCCUGACUUGGGACAGGCGCAAAAAUGCGGCAGGGUUAAACAUGUUUGUGAAAUCUCAACCCUCCCCCUAUACCUCUAGCCAAUGUAGAAAAAGUAAACGCAUAACAAUACGCACAUUAAAGUUCAGUUCAAGAGAAGUUCGAGUUUAAUGUCUAGAUAGAUAAGAGGGAGGUUUGUGCCUAUGUAAAACUUGUUAAACCCCAUCCCCACACGUUUCGUUUAGCCUGUAUCAAGUACGGCUAUUUAGAUUAUGCUUUGCAGACCCACUGGAUUCUUAAAAAAGGGGGCUGUUGGCUGCCAAACUAGACUAAAUUUUGUCAGAGCUCUAUAUUAUAAAAGACCUCAAGACAAAUAUCCAGAGUAAAAUUUCCCUAAUUUCUUUUUUAAGGAAUACAGCAUUACCAUCAGGAAAACAUGUUACAAAUUUUCUUGACAUGAGCCAACUUAAGUCUUGGCUGACAUUCCUAAACACUGUAAGCUUUAGUGAGAAGAAACAAAAACAAGCUUUUAAGUAUUUUUGUUUGAUGUGGCCUUGUAUGAAAACUGCAAAGCAAACAUGCUAUUUCAAGACCACCAAGAUGUUUUUAACUACUAUACUUUGUGAAUAUCAUCUAGCUUCCAGACUCUUUUGAAUCAAAGAGAACAGAAAUUAGUUGAUUUCUAAAAAUGAUGGUGAUCUCUAAUGCAUUUUAAAUGACUGCAUAAAUAUGAGGGUCUGAAUGGGUUUUACAGAGAUUAAAGGGUAAAAAGUGCAGAAUAAGCUUGGGUAAAAAAAUAGAGAAAAAUGUACCAAAAAAUUUAAAAAAAGAGAAUUAUGAGGACUAAAAUAUAAAGAAUACAGAAUUAUGGAGGACUAGAAUAUAAAGUAUAGGUAAUUAUGGACAAAAAUAUUUAAAGAAAAGGUAAAAUUAUCUAACCCCAUCCAUAUAUUCAUUCCAUACCCUCACAUAUGCACUGACUUUGAUCCUGCUUGACAGUAAUUAAUUAUUUUUUAAACAUUUUUAAGAAUCCUGUCAUUGAAGUUUGAGAGAUGAUGUGGUUUUGACAGUAAGAAGAAAUAAAGAAGGAUUUGGUAACUGUCUCAUCUGGUAAAACUUGAAACUUUCUUUGUUUUCAAAUCCACCAGACUUAAAAACAUCUAUGUAAACAAAAAUUAACAGCAAAUUAACCGGAAAAUUCAAACAUCUUUAAAUUAUCCUCCCUUUUCCUUUAAUUUACAGAGUUUUUAUUCAUUAGCAAUGAAUUACACCAUCUUUCAAAGAAAGGAAAAUGUAAAACAUAUCUUUUCAUCAGGUUUAUUUUCAUUACACUUAGCAGAGAAUGUGGAAUUUAUUAGUAAGUGUUGAAACAAGUGAUUAACCGGCAGUAAAGUACCGGAAAAAAACAUUCUUGCAUAAUCAACGGUUAUUUUAAUAAAAAUUAGUUCUGUCCCUGGCUAAUUACUUUACCAUGCCAUUUAGAUUAAAAGAUAAAACAAUUUCACUUGCUCAGCGGUAGUUUAUAAACAUUAAUUUACACUUGGCGCUAAGUUUGUGUGUUUUGAAUUUUUUCGCUUUAUUUUUCAAGCGUUGAUAAUUAGUAUUUUUUCAAGAUGCGAAAGUUUUUUAGUGACUUUUUGAUGAAGGGGUUGUAUAACACGUGUUUUGAACUUCUGCUAAAUGAGGAGCAAAUUUCACUUUGAUCAAUGUAGCUUUUGUACGUUUUAUUUUUUCAGGCAGAGUAAAAUUAAAAAUGCUGUUUUUUUUUUAAUAAAUACUUUAAUGAACAUUUGUAAUGGGAAAAGUAUGGGUUUUUCAACUUACUUGUACACAUGUAUAUAAAAGAUUUGUCUUGAAAACCUAGAAUGAGCAAUAUUUCAGAACUUUUUAAGAUAGGAAGCAAUAACUUGAAUUAAUGCUUUGGUUACAAAUAGUCUGUCUAAAACAACAAAUUUAAGUAUGGUUAUAGUAAGUAGGUAUGCUAAUAAUUUGUUUUACUUGUUAAAAAGUAUGUUUAACACUUUUAACACUGCCACAUUUUUGUGUCUGUCCCAAGUGAGGAACCUCUGUUUGUUUUGUUUGUUUUGUAUGUUCUUUUAAUUUUAGUUCAUUUAUAUUUUAAAUCAGAGUUUAGUGUGAAGUCCAUUUUCACUGAACUACCGGUAGUACACAUUUUUUGUUAAGGAGCCUGCAGAAGCUUAGCCUCAGAGUGCAUGAUUUUCUUAGUGUGCUGAAGACCUGUUGGUGGCCUUGGCUUGGGUUGUUUUCUCUUUGACACAUUCCCCAUCUCCAUUUUCAAUUUUUUUGUGUCAUCUGCCAUAUUAGUAUUAUACUUGUACAUUAUGUUAAGGAUUUGGAGUUUGAUAUAGUAUGCAGGGGCUGAUUUAACCCGAAUAAUUCAGUCGUUAUAUUCCGCUGAUCUACGAAGGCUACAUUAACGCCUGAACGUCUUCCUCGAUCAAGACCGUCAACCGGAAAAUUCACACCGCUUUGCAAUAUGGGAAUUUUGAUUUAAAUUGGCAGCUAAAGAAGGAGGAGUUUCGGAUGUUAAUUGAUGAUAAAUGAUGUAAACUGAUGUUAAUUGAUGUUAAUUAAUUAUUAUUGGAUUUGUGUUAAUUGAACACACGUGUUUGGUAAGACAAUUUCAAGAGAGUUGUGCAGACUCAUAUCCUGAUCGCCGCUGAUUGGCUCUCUCUCACAGAGAGCAGGCGACGCGGCCAAUGAUCACAAGGAGUUCAAGCCCUCGUGUGGGAGAAAAUUGGACACGGAAAGGGCUUGAAUUAUUCGAGUUAGGGCUGAUUGAGCAUUUUUGCAUAUCCAACUAAGUCAGACAUCAUGUGACUUUUGUGACGUAUACUAACCGCCAUUUUGUAUUAUAUUGCCCCAUACAAAAUGCAUAGGGCUUCAAUAAAGUUUAAUUUUCUCAUUAACCUGACCCUUUUUCUAACUUUUGCAAAUCAAUCCUUGAUAUUCAAACAUAUUUCUAUCAAACAUUGUUGGUCCUAACAGUUGAAUUUUUGAUUAAAUUCGGUCAAAUGAGAAUCGUAAAAACAUUACUUUUUCUCGUCAUUUCUCCAUUGACUCAAUUCUAAAUUACCGAUACCCAUGUCUACUUGUACAACAAAUAGAGAAAUUCCGUUAAUAAAAAUAAAACUUUGCAAAUCGAUUAAGUAUAUUCAAACAUACAUCUGGCGAAACUAAAGAGAUAUUAACACUAAACAACCAAUUUGAAAAUGUAAAAAAAAAAAAAAAAGGACCUGAAGACAAACAGCACUGAGCAGUAUUCAAAACACUACAGACUGAGUAACACCAACCCUACAAAAAUCAGUUGGAAAUGACUUAACUUACAAGAAAAUGAAAGAAAAAAAACGAAAUCCAGAGGACCGUAGGUAACCUAUCUAAGAGUACUUACAGUUAUUGAAAGAUAUAUAUAUAUACUGGCAUGAAAACUUAUCUCAAGAAAUAAAUCUAUGUGUCUUAAAUAUUUUUUUCAAAUUGUAACUAGUCAAAAGACCUAAAGUUACUAAAGUCACUGGAUGGAAUGUCCCUGUGGUCUUUGGCAUAGAAUAAUUAACUGUUAUAUUGAUUGAUUGAUUGUUGUUUACUUUAUGUCCAGUGGCAAAUAUUUCAUGCAUGGUCAGGACAAUUAAUUAACUAAUAUAAAUACCUUGUUUUGUAGGAACAAAAAGUUGGAGUUUUCUUGCAUGGUAGGACUUGGGACAGAUUGUUCAUCUAAUGUUUGGAUAAAUUGAGGUUCGUUUUACAUCCAGUGGCUAAUAUUUCAUACAUAUUCAGGUCGAUCAACAAAUGUUAGAACCAUAUAAUGUGCUGUAGUAAAAAAAAUCGGAAUAGGAAUUUGAAAAUUUUAUAUUGGUUUAUUUUAUGAAUUGACAUCAGCAUUGAAUUCUUUAAAUAAUAUUCCAUGUUCUGAAUCAUUCACUGUCAAUUUCGUCAGAGAAAGUUUUUAAUUUAAACUUAAUCCAUGGUGUCAAAUUUAAAUUUUGAUAAAUGCAUUUAAAUCUCUCAAUAUUUAUUCGAUAUUAUUGAAGCAACAUAAACUUUUCAAUUCAUUAAAUCAAAUUAAUGCUAUAUAGGAGGGCAACAUAUUAGAUAGAUCAAUAAAAAUAAACAGGAGUAAUUCAUCGGAGGUAAUUCUACCGAUUGACAAUUUAAAUAUGUUAGUUAUAAGGGAUUAAAUCAUUGUUCGCCUCAUAAUAAAGAUAAUAUUAGUCACUUAACUUUCUAAUAAUAUGGGAUUCAAAACUUUCCAUUCGUAAAAUAUGAUUUCAACUUCUAAUCAUGUUAGUGUAGUGCAAAAAAUAUUAAUUAGCUUGAUCUGUGCUUAACCUUUUGAUCCAACAUUUUUUUUAGAUGCAUUAUGUUUGUGAAAAUAUUCAGGCCUUUAUUUGUUUAUUUAUUCAACAAAUUUGAAGAUUUCUUUGUGAACAUUUUAGAAUGAGUAUGAAUUUCAUAAUGUAGAAAACAAGAGGUGUAUAAAAUUUAGCUGUUGCAGCUUUUAGAUCCUUUUUGUUUUUGAUUUUUGUUGGGUAGUAAUAUGAAUCAAUGCAAAGUUAAUACAAAAUUAAUUCUUAUCCUUCAGGGAAAACAUCUGAUUAGGAAUAUCUAGGAAAAGACAGACAAAUGUAGAGAAAUUAGUUAAAGAAAGAAAAAGAUUUGGUCUUUACAGAAAUGGUUUGUAUGAGUAAAUGAGGAGAAGUUAAAAACGGGUUUACUUGUUUAAAAUUCAAUUUUGAUUUUUUUUUAAAGGAUUUCAUUUUUAAAACCUUUAUUUUUCUCUCUCUCUCUUUUAUGUUUAUAGUUUAUUAUACAUUUUCUAUUGAAAAAAAGAUAAUUCUUAAAAAUGAUAUUUUGAACUUCAAUGGUUAACUACUCUAUAGGGUCAUUGAAUCAAAUUAUUUAUUGUACUUAAUACAAAAAAUAUUUUAUGCAAAUUCAUGAUGGAUUGAGAGGUAAUAGAAAUCAAAAGUUUAAGUUUACAUAAACUAUAAGCUGAAUCAAAACAUCUUAUUUCUUAUCAAGAAAAUUUCUUUACUUUUGGUGUUUUCUUUGUAAUAAAUCAUGCAGUAUAUGAGCCAAACCAAAUUUCAUGCAUUUUAUCAGCAAAAUUUUCUCCAUGCUUGCAAACAAUGGUAAACCUUGUUAAAACAAUUUAACAAAAUCUGAUAAAAUUUUAUUUGAUAUGAUUGAAACCUUUUUUUCUACAGGUGAGAAAAUAAAAUGAAAAGUAAAAGAAAAUAUAUGCCUUGAUUAGAAAAAGGGGUUGACUAGUUAUGAGAGUAAUGGAGCAUGCCAUUUUUUAUUGCCGAAAACUUAGAUGAAGUAGAUAUCCACUUGUCACAUGAUAAACAACACUUAAAACAAUUGUGCUGAUUUUCAAGAGCCCACCUGUUGUUUUAACCAGGUAAGUGGAUUAUAAUUUUGUACAUAUGUAUUGGCUACCAUUAUGAAAAGAUUAUAGUUGAAAAUAAUGCAUUUGAAUGUACUUAGACAAAUUUAUGAUAGUGGAAAAAGGGGAGAUGACUAAGAAUAAACUAAUCAAAUGAUUUUAUCUUUCAAUUCAGAAAAGAAAAUGAACACUUGAUAAAAAAAAGGUUUUUCAAAAUGCUCCAUAUAAUAAAUUUUUGUAAAAUUACAUCAAUGAAAUUCAUUUAUAAGAAUCUAAACAGCAAUGGGUACCAUUGAAUUGAAAAUAUUUCAGUUAUUGGAUUGUUGUUUUCUAAGAUUUUUAUUUGAUAGGGUGACCCAUUACCUGCCAAACCCGCCAAGGGUGAUGUCUUUUAAUUAAUGAUACAAACUUAUGUUAAACUAAUAAUGCAACCUAUUCAUGUCAAAAGAAAAAAGAAGAAAAAAUGUUGCUGUCACAAUAAAGUUUAAAAAAAUGACCAUGAAAUUAACAUACAUACAUGGUUACUUACACAUAAUCAGAACGAGUCCUUUAGAUACAGACCCCUAUAAUUAGAGACCC